UCCGCUCACUGCACACGUCCGAACAGUUCCGGGAGUCUUUCGUCGGCUUAAUGAACCACUAUGGAAAAGUGCAACGGAUGACCGCUGAAAUCGAGCAGCUCUUCUCGGCGGCAUACUUUGCCCAGUUCGGGUCGAGCGGUUUGGUGAUUUGUGCAUCCGCUUUCAAGACAUCUUCAAUGUUCAACCUGUACGAGCUGACCGCCAUCCAGAAUCUGCUCUACAUGCUGUCGAUGAUAUUUCAAAUGUUCUUACCAUGUCGCUUCGGCAAUGAGGUGACGCGCAAAAGCCACCUGCUUCGGACGUCCAUUUACAGCUCCCGUUGGUAUGAGAUGGGAUUGCAGGAGCGCAAAACGUUGCGUAUGUUACUGCAGCGCAUGAACAAACCGCUCACGCUGAAGGCGUCCUAUUUUUUCAACUACAAUCUACAGGCGUUUACUACGACACUCAAUAUGGCCUAUUCGUUGUACGCAUUGUUGCAACGCAACGCAUUGAAGAAAGUUUAAUAUUAAUAUUGGUUCUAUCAAAGGUUAUGUUUUGGAACAACAACUAUUCGUAAAACAAUGACAGCAUAAAUGAAGCGAGCAUUUGUCGAUGAAACAAAAUUAGUUACACAGCGAUCAUUGGUUUUUCGUUCGAUAUAUUUCCCUCUCGUACACAAUUGCAAUUGCUGUUCUUCAGCGUUUCCCUUCGCUUGGUAAUCGUUUCAGGAACUUAGCCACUAAAACGAUAAGUACACCAUCCCUCUUCAACCACACAUGCUUACUGAUUCGUUACCUGCCUUCGCUAGCCUGUUUAACGUCUUAAUGUUCGAUGUACCCGAUACGCCUUGCAUUGCAUUGGUGUACAAAUUAAUAAUACAUAAUAUCUAUGCGUACGUUUAAAGAAGGAUACAGAUUAUUCCCAUUGCUGCGCUGCGCUCUGCCAUUUGAUGUUGAUGAUCGUUAUUUCUUUACUACGAUGAGACAGACCCACCACUUGGCGCAUUUGUUAGUUGAUAGGUUGAUGAGUAUAAAUUACUAAAUUAUAAUUUAAUUCGUGUUAAUGCGUGUAAGCAUGUACACCACAAACAAAUUGAAAGCGUUGUUUGGCGAUUAUCAUUUAUUGCGCCACAAUUGCGCGGUACGAUCGCAAGCAUUGGUGUGUACAUUUGCUUUGCACUGAAAGAAAAGAACGAACGAAUUAAAAUCAAGGACAUGAAACAAAUUGCACACGUGGAAUGAAGAUGAUUCUAACCGCACACACGCCCAUCUAAUGUGAGACAAAAUUUGCCGGAAAUGAUAAUAAAAACCAAUUAAAUGUAGCAAAGCAAUUAAAUACAACGGCAACGGCACGCAAUGCAAACACCGAAGUAAGCUUAAGCGGUGGUGGUGCCGGCGGCCCUGUCUAUUGUGCAUCGAAAUCAUGUUACUCCGUUAAAUCAUACAAUGAAAUUUUUGUGCAGUUUUGGAAGAAAAACACGCUCUAAAUUCAUCAAAUUAAAACACACAUAGAACACAUAGAUCCAAACAAACAAAAGUUAUAAAUAAAUGAUUUCAGUACGUUGGAACGAAUGGGUCGGAAAAAAGUGGAUGGAAAUUGUUACAUAUACCAUCAAAAUUGCGAUUGGAAGAGCUCGGCAAUAACAACAAAAAAGAGCAUUUCACGCAUAAGCAUCUUAAUUACAGUAUUUUGCUCGCGCAUCACUUGCAAGGAAGCUUCGCAAAAAACUGAUUAGCCCCUACAGUGUCUAUUUUGUGUGAUAAGAGUUUUCCUGUGCGCGUGUAACGGAAAAAGCGUGCAAAUCGUUUCGGUUUCAACUUUCCUCAGCACAUAGACACCGAACACGUUUGCUGAACACGUUACGUCUUCUUAUUGCCUCGGAACGGACCAUUCCACAAUGUAACUUAAAUUAGUUUAGAUUCUAUACGCACACACACACAAUAUGUUCUGGCGGAUCGUAUUUGCUUAUUCUCUCGAAGAAAAAAAAGAAUGGGACAUCCCAAAUGCACAUGAAUAAAACAUAAAAAAAUAAAACCGAUUUAUAUAAAGCGUUGCCGAGAAGCGGACGCCACCCAAAAAUAGUACGAUCACGGGUGAGUAACUUUUCAAACGAAACACAAUUCCGGUACGCGGUGUAACCGUUGCUCGACGCUCGAUCGAGAUGUAAACCUGAGAGGAAGGGAGAGAAGCGUCUCCAGUGGCUGCCCGAAAUCAUCCUAAAAAUGUUCUAUUUUCUUCCUCUACCCCUGUCUAUACCCGACUAUACUUCUUCCCACUUUUUCCCACUUUUCUGCAGACACAGCCAGCAGUACAGGAGGCGCGUGUGCCACCUCCGCAAAAAAUAAGAAACAAAAACUGCUGCAGAAUGAAUGCUUGCCCCAGGUGCGCGGAAACAGUUUAAAACGUUUUCCGAUGGAUCGCCCGCUGACCGUCCUCGUCGAACUCUCGCUUCGAGACCCACAUCUUCUUGAAUGUGUCGAGCGAGGCCAGAAUCGAUCCACCCAUCCAGGUAGAGUAGAUACGCUCCUGUGGUGCAGCGAUCUGAAACGAAAUGACGAAAGUCCCACAGAAACACAAUUAACACCUGUUCAACAAAAUGCCUGUAUCGAACGUAGGAAACUUACCCUAAUUUUCAUAUCCUUUGCCACGUGCUUUCUGAUCUCGGACAGUAACCGAUCGCCGAAACCCUUGAACAGGGUCGAUCCGCCCGACAGCACAAUGUUCUGAUAGAGCAUCUUCCGCAAAUCCAUGUCGGACUUUUGAAUCGAGUAUAUUAGCACCUCGUGGAUGCCCUCGCACUCCUCGCCGAGCAUGUGCGGGCGGAACAGCACCUCCGGUGCCCGGUAGCACGCCGGUCCAAUCUCGAGCACGUUACCAUCCGGCAGCACGUACUUCGUCUUCUCCGUAUCGACCGUCUCUUCCUUGAGCGGGUUCGUCGCCAGCGAGCAGACCUUCUCCUUGAUCGAGCGCACUAUCUCAAACUCGGCCGUCGUACGGAAGCUGAAGCCCUCCUUGCGGAUCAGCGUCUUCAGGUAGCGGGUCACGUCCCGCCCCGCAAUGUCCACGCGCAUGAUGCUGUGGGGCAUGGCGAAGCCUUCGAAUAUCGGUACGGCGUGCGUCACACCGUCGCCCGAGUCGAGCACCACGCCGGUAACGCGCCCGGUCGCGUACAGACUCAGCACGGCCUGCAUCGACACGAACAGUGCGGGCACGUUGAACGUUUCGAAGAAGAUUUCGGCCGCCUUUUCGCGGUUUUUCCGGGGGUUCAGGGGCGCUUCGGUCAGCAGCACCGGAUGUUCCUCGGCGAACGUGGACAGCUCAUCCUUGCUGUAGAUGUACGUCCAGAUCUUUUCCAUAUCGUUCCAGUCGGUCACGAUACCGUGCUCCAUCGGGUAGCGGAUGCUUAGCAGGCCCCGAUAGUCUUCCGCCUUUGGUCCCACGAACAUGUCCCCCUCCAGUGCACCGGCCAUCACGCGCACGUGUUUCGGCCGGCCCAUGCUACAGUGAUGAACGGGGGAGGGAAAGGUUUUAAGCCACACAUGGAAAGAAAACAGUUUCUCCACAUCGAAGUCGCCGUUGCGAUACUUACUAGUUGGGAAAGCGACAUUUUGGUAUGUGAUCGCCAGCGAAGCCAGCCUUUAUCAUUCCCGAACCCUGCAGGCGAGACAGAAGGAAAGGAACGAAACGCCAUUAGAACAAAGGAUUCAACAAUUCAUACGAAAGUUUAGUCUGUACGCAGAAAUGUACGCAGAAAGGGUUAAACAAAUUCGCCGUACAUUGGCCAACGCAGUGCCCCCGAACCCCAACUUAACCAUAUUCGAUCGAAACCGGAUGGCGCAAGUGGAUGAAUUUUACUUGCGCUGCCAGCAGCAGCGUGAUUACUAUCGGGAUCGGACCGACCUGCUGCAACAGCUGCCAGAAUUUCGACGUCCGCUAAAGCGCAGCUUUAUGCGGUUGAUGAACCCUACCGAACACUAUCUCCGGCUGCAUCGGUGCUCGACGGGCUACAGCUCGGAAAGACGCUUUUGAUAUUGCUCCAGCUCCAGCAGCGGACAUUGUGCGAUCCAUCACUUCUAGCGAAAUAAAAUCUUUAUCAGUUCGGCUCCGCUAGAGCCUUUGUAA
Molecule: RNA transcript, 4101 nt
Organism: Anopheles merus
Lineage: Eukaryota; Metazoa; Arthropoda; Insecta; Diptera; Culicidae
Gene name: odorant receptor 94b-like
Exons: 5
Source: RefSeq, a predicted model, not a curated record